GGGUGAGUACCAGAGUGGCCAAAUGGGGCAGACUGUAAAUCUGCUGGUUUUUACCUUCGGUGGUUCGAAUCCAUCCUCACCCA
Molecule: transfer RNA, 83 nt
Filed under: Bacteroidales bacterium
Lineage: Bacteria; Pseudomonadati; Bacteroidota; Bacteroidia; Bacteroidales
Also listed under: 1 other name
Description: tRNA-Tyr
Rfam family: tRNA
About the family: Transfer RNA (tRNA) molecules are approximately 80 nucleotides in length. Their secondary structure includes four short double-helical elements and three loops (D, anti-codon, and T loops).
Source: RNAcentral